CCAACAGGGAUUACCUCAGUAACGGCGAGUGAAGCGGUAACAGCUCAAAUUUGAAAGCUAGCUCUUUUAGGGUUCGCAUUGUAAUUUGUAGAAGAUGCUUCGAGUGUGGCCCCGGUCUAAGUUCCUUGGAACAGGACGUCAUAGAGGGUGAGAAUCCCGUAUGUGACUGGGUGCUUUCGCUCAUGUGAAGCUCUCUCGACGAGUCGAGUUGUUUGGGAAUGCAGCUCAAAAUGGGUGGUAAAUUUCAUCUAAAGCUAAAUAUUGGCCAGAGACCGAUAGCGCACAAGUAGAGUGAUCGAAAGAUGAAAAGCACUUUGGAAAGAGAGUUAAACAGUACGUGAAAUUGUUGAAAGGGAAGCGCUUGCAACCAGACUUGCGCGCUGAUGAUCAUCCGGGCUUCUGCCCGGUGCACUCGUCUGCGCUCAGGCCAGCAUCGGUUUCGGUGGUGGGAUAAAGGCCUUGGGAAUGUGGCUCCUCUCGGGGAGUGUUAUAGCCCUCGGUGCAAUGCCGCCUACCGGGACCGAGGACCGCGCUUCGGCUAGGAUGCUGGCGUAAUGGUUGUAAGCGACCCGUCUUGAAACACGGACCAAGGAGUCUAACAUCUAUGCGAGUGUUUGGGUGUCAAACCCAUACGCGUAAUGAAAGUGAACGGAGGUGAGAACCCUUAAGGGUGCAUCAUCGACCGAUCCUGAUGUCUUCGGAUGGAUUUGAGUAAGAGCAUAGCUGUUGGGACCCGAAAGAUGGUGAACUAUGCGUGAAUAGGGUGAAGCCAGAGGAAACUCUGGUGGAGGCUCGCAGCGGUUCUGACGUGCAAAUCGAUCGUCAAAUUUGCGUAUAGGGGCGAAAGACUAAUCGAACCAUCUAGUAGCUGG
This 872-nucleotide ribosomal RNA is filed under the name Cadophora sp. REF025. Its description in RNAcentral is "eukaryotic LSU rRNA". It matches the Rfam family "Eukaryotic large subunit ribosomal RNA", at positions 65 to 954 of the family's 3401-position model. The record is from RNAcentral. Lineage: Eukaryota; Fungi; Ascomycota; Leotiomycetes; Helotiales; Ploettnerulaceae.